CACGAAGAGUCCCUCCAGUCUGGUCUAAGGUGAAAAAAAAAAAGGUGGGUUUUUUUGUUGUUGUUGUUGUUUUUUUUGGUACUAGGGAUUGAACUGAGGUACUCCACCACUGAGCCCCAUCCCCAGCCCUAUUUUGUAUUUUCUUUAGAGACAGGGUCUCACUGAGUUACUUAGCACUCACCAUUGCUAGGCUGGCUUUGAACUCUGGAUCCUCCUGCCUUAGCCUCCUGAGCUGCUGGGAUUACAAGCAUGUGCCACUGUGCCUGGUGGAAAAAAAGGUGUUCUUGUUAGCAUGACUUUGACCCUGAAUCCUAUAAAACAACAGCCCAAACAUUAUAAUUUUUUAAUUCCAAAUAAUUUAUCCCAACUUUUUAUUUAAAAAAAAAUCCAAACCUUCUGUACUAUCUUAGUUCUUUGCAGCCCCAACAAAGUAUUUCCAUAUUGCAAAGGAUGCCACCAGCCUGAUGUUUUGGGCAGGACCCCAGCUCUUCCUUUCCUUCCCAUCUCACACUCCCAAGGCCUGACAAUUCCACCUUCAAAUAUGACUUGAAUCUGUCCAUUUCUUUCCCUUUUCUCCACUAACACUCUAGUCCAAAUAGGAUUGUCAGAUAAAAUGCAAGAUAGAUAAUUUUAAAAAUAGAAACAUGUUCAUACACAAUUUUUAAAUUUUUUUAAAAAUUUUUUUCUUAAUUGUAGAUGGACACAAUGCUUUUAUUUUAUUUAUUUAUUUAUUUUUAUGUGAUGCUGAGGAUCGAACCCAGGGCCUCACACAUGCCAGGCAAGCGCUCUACCACUGAGCCACAACCCCCACUGAGCCACAACCCCAGCGCUCCAUGCACAAUUUCAAUUUUGGAUAAGCAAAGAAUAACUCUUGCAUAAGUAUGUCUGGUGCAAUUUUUAGGAUCAUACAGUCAUCCCUUGGUAUCUUCAGGACCUCCCUCCCAAGGAUACCAAUCCAUGGAUCCUCAAAUCCUUUUGUAAAAAAUAGUGAAUAUUUGCAUACAAUCUAUGCACAUUCUCUUAUACACUUUAUCUCACCUCUAGAUUAUUCCUAAUCUAGAUUCCUAAUGCCUAAUACAACGUAAAUAGUUGCAAUACUGUUAAGAGACCAAUGAGGGUGGAGAGGGAGUCUGUUCAGAACAAAUAUAAUUUUAAAAAAUAGUUUGCAUUCAUGAUUGGUUGAAUCCACAGAUUAUAGAACCGACCAAUUCAGAGGGCUGACUGUACUAAAAUAUUCUUUACUUAUCUGAAAUUCAAAUUUAACUGAGUGUCUCAUGUUUUGAUUUGCUAAAUUUGGCAAGCCUAUGUCCAAGGCACAGUUGUCAAGCCUGGACCACGGCAUAAUUUCCUACUGGUCUCCCCGCCCUGGCUCUCACUCCUGCCAAUGAAUCCCACAGCUGCGGAGGAACUUUGGAAAAAGUGAAUCUUUCAGUACUCUGCCCUAUCUAAAGCACCUCGAGGUGCUUUUACCAUUCUGGAAAUAUUGCCAUCUUUUUUUUUUCUUUGUAGAGAGCAGCUUUAUUUGGAUUAAUACGCAUAUUGUACAAUUCACCAUUUUGAAGUAUACAAACCAUUGAUUUUUAGGAUACAAAUGGUCCCCCACUUUCGAAGGUUCUGCUUACAAUUUUUUGACUUUAUGAGGGCACAGAAGUGAUGCAAGUUCAGCAGAAACUGUUCCUUGAAUCCCCUCCAUGUUGUAGCACAUAUCAGUUUUUCCGUCCUUUUUAUGGCUGAGUAAUAAUUCCAUCAUAUAGACAGACCAAAAUGUAUUAAUUCAUCCAUUGAUGGACAGUCAAGUUGUUUCCAUCACUUGACUGUUUAGAAUAAUGCUUCUAAGAGAAGAGAUUACUAGGGUCUGGGAAGGGGGAUGAGAAGUGAAUAGAGGUACCUGGAUAUGGGUACCAAAAUACAAGUAGGCAGAAGGAGCAAGUUCCAGUGUUCUACAGCACAGCAGGGUGUCUGUCAUUUAUAAUAACAUAUCUUUUGGUUGGUUGACUGAAUUAAUGAAAAAAUGAAUCAAUGAAUGAUUGAGCGCAAAGAAGGCAGAAAGUGUUUCCGAGAUCCACUUCCAAACAUAGUAGGUGCUCAAUAAAUAUUUGUGUUGCUGCUAUGAGAGCAGAGGAGUUUGUAAGCUUCAAAUACAAAGGAAUGACAGGUGGCUAAGGAGAUGGAAAUGCUAACUACCACACAGGUCAGAUCAUUCACAUUGUGUACUUGUACUGAAUUAUACCACAGCCCAUAAGUAUGUAUUUUUACUAGGUGUCCAUUAGAAAAAUUUUAAAGAAUAAUGCUUCUGUGAACAUUUAUAGACAGGUUUUUGUGUAGAUGUAUGUUUUCAUUUCUUGUAGCUAUGUAUUUAUACAUGGAAUUGCUGGGUUAAAUUUUUGGGGCGGUAGGGUACCAGGAUUGAACCCAGGGGUCCUUAACCACUGAGCUACAUCCCCAGCCCUUUUUAAUUUUUCUUUUGAGACAGGGUCUGGCUAAGUUGCUUAGGGGUCUCACUAAGUGGCCGAGGCUGAUCUUGAACUUGCAAUCCUCCUGCCUCGGCCUCCCAAAUUUCUGGGAUUACAAGCAUGUGCCACCGUGCCUGGCUGGCUUAGAUCAUUUUUGAUUAAACAAUUGAGAGAUGGCCACAUUGCUUUUUCUUUCCUUUUUUUUUGAGAGAGAGAGAAUUUUAAUAUUUAUUUUUUAGUUUUUGGUGGACACAACAUCUUUGUUUGUAUGUGGUGCUGAGGAUCGAACCCAGGCUGCACACAUGCCAGGCGAGCGCGCUACCGCUUGAGCCACAUCCCCAGCCCCACAUUGCUUUUUCAAAGUGUGUGACCUGACAUCCCCAAGAGCGUUGGACAAGGGUUCCGGCAUGUACUUUGCAUCUUCCUAAGCAAAACUGUCCAUAGUCUGAAGAAGCGAGGCCUUUUCGGUCCUGCGAGCCUUUGCACAUAUCCCCCUCUUUCUAAAUCACUCUUCCUGGGUCUCUCAGUGAGGACCCACCCUUUACCUGCCAGCUCUCACCCCAAAUGUCACCUGCUCAGGCCUUCCCUGACCACCCCAUCUAAGGAAUGCAACCACACACACUGUUAUCCAUCACUGAAAUGAACUCUUACCUUAAUGAGUAAAUGGUUUUACUUGUAUUUAUUUAUUUAUUUAUUUAUUUUUGUGCAUCCCCAACUAGAAUGUGUGCUUCCUGGGAAGGUGGAGGCCAGGCCUUCUCAUUCAUCUUGUAUUCUCAGCCACUCACAGAGAGUCUGGUUCCUAGGGUAUGCUCAGUAAACCCCAGAUGGUUGAAUGAAUUGAUGAAAAUCAUGAAUCAAUGAACAGUUGAGCGCAGAGAGGGCAGAAGGUGUUUCUGAGAACCACUUCCAAACAUAGUAGGUGCUCAAUAAAUAAAUAAAUAAAAGACACACACAACUACACAUACACACACACACACACACACACACAGAGUAACAGAGAGAAAAAUGAACUCACUCCUUCAAGACAGAGGUGACAGGUGCCACAAUAAGCCUCAUAAAUCCUGACACAAAUGCCCAGGCAAGAGACAGAUGAGAUGUUUGGCCUAUUUCACUUGCAAUCAGCUGAAGAGAUGAGCCCUCUUUCUGGUUUAAUAGAAAAAUCGCUUUGAGCACUUUGGUGCACAGAGCACUUUGAAAUUCUAAUUACAGGUGACACACAAAUGGAAAGAAAAAUAGGAAAUCAAACAUGGGAGCCAAUUCCGUGGGAUUUAUAUGGAAGCUCGAUAGCAACAAAUUACCUCUGACUGCUCAGAAUCUUCUCAGAGCACUUUGCAGAUGGAGUUCACCGAGGCUGGCAUGAGGAUGAGGUUAGGGACAUCAGUAAUGCAUCCGAGUUCUCUGCAGACAUGUCAAUGUCCUGAAUCUUUGGGUCCAUUUUUGCAAUAUAUCCCCAAGGCGGAAAUCACAGAAGACCUGCUGUGGUCUGAUUCUAGCCACCUCCAGAUACUGCUCUCCCGACACGUUCCCUCCUCCUCCAGCCUCCAAUCAUCUCAGCCUCCCAGCCUCCAAUCAUCUCAGCCUCAACUCAG
RNAcentral lists this long non-coding RNA (4042 nucleotides) under Marmota monax (woodchuck). The record is from RNAcentral. Lineage: Eukaryota; Metazoa; Chordata; Mammalia; Rodentia; Sciuridae.